This is a long non-coding RNA of Cygnus atratus (black swan), 1942 nucleotides long. RefSeq lists it as uncharacterized. The transcript has 2 exons. The record is from RefSeq and is a predicted model, not a curated record. Lineage: Eukaryota; Metazoa; Chordata; Aves; Anseriformes; Anatidae.
AUUCUGGUGACUGCAGCUACGGAAUGACAGCGACCGACAGAUCGUGCUGCGUAGGAUAAGCAAACUUUUCUGAUGGCGGAUCCCAGCUGUAGAUUGUUUAUCAGCAGUGUUUUUGUAGGGCUAAAUAAAUAUUUAAUAUUUAAACGACAGGGAUCCUUGGAGCCUUGAGGAACAUCAGGCCCCAGCACUAAAUAACCGUGUCAGUGCCACCGACAGCGGGCCCUGCCCCGACCUGGGACAGACAGACUGCCCUGCAGGCACCGGGUGUAUGCGGAUGUCUUGUCGCUGGACAGCCGGGACGGACGGACGGACGGACAGCCGGACAGCAGGGCAGCGGGCAGCUCGUGUCCCAGCACUCACAGGCUGGCUGCAGCACGUCCUGCUUCUGCUGCCAGGAACGGGGAGAAAGGCCGAAGCACAAACACUUGCAGCAGCAGUAACACUGAAGUGCGAUUUUUAAAUCUCUUUUUAAAUCACUUUAAGAGUGCAGCUACUUAAAGUUGAUAUAUCCAAGCAUUUAACUCUCAUUAACGUUCAUUCAGAUGCUGUAAGAAAAGCAGACAAAUUUUGAAUAUGCAAAAAGGCCCAGACCUGGCUUAUUUGUUACACAGCCGUUUUGCAUUGCGGUGCCGCAGCAAACUGGUCUCAAGGCUGGCAAAGCAAGCAGACGGGCGAGCAUUCCCAUAGAACUAUUUGGCCUGCUGUAUGCAGGACUAUUUUAUUUGGUCAGUCGUGUGCAUUGUCAGUGUUUCUCUGUUGGUGUUACUAUUAUGCACUAUUAGAGCUAUCUGUCCUAGUUGUCUGCAGCUGGUGUAAAAUAAUCUUCAGAUUGUUUUUAUCGCACCACAGGCUUCAGAUAAACCAUAACAGUGUGCAGAAUUAACAAAGAUUAAGAGGGAAGAAUAUUAGAGGAGAGGAACAAGAUGAAAAUAUUUAACUGUCAUUAUCCUCAGAUGCGACACACUUCUGUGAGAAUAUGGGUAAAAAACAUGAAGAACUGAAAGCCAUGUUUAUAAUAUUAAUAAGCGUUAAAAAAAUCAACAAGAACAUGUCAAAAAUAAAUCAUGGGAUCUUGGCUUCAGCGAGGAUUCCCAUGCUAUAUCAUCUACCUUUCUCAUAAGAAGGCUAGAGGAAUGUGGGCUAUGUGAAACUUACAUGAAAUGGUUACAAAAUGGCACUCAGAAGUAACUCCAAGUGAUUCACAUUCAAAACCAAAAGUUUGUAGCAAGUGAGAUUUCCAAAUAUUUAUGUCCUGAAUCCCAAAGUGCCUAAUUUUACUUGGUGCAAUAUGACAGAGAAUAUUUUUAUUAUCUUUGUGAAGGAUAUCCUGUUCAGGUGAGAGCUGCAAGUAUUUUGGAAGACAGAACUGAACAAAUCAUGACAAGUUGAAACAAAGUUCUAAAGUAAAUAGGAUGUAAUUCCAUGAAGCAAGAAACUUAAGUAAAGCUGGGAAUAACUGACUGCAAAACUGUAAGCUGGAGACAAACUGGCUAAGCAGUUACUUUACAAAAAGAAGUCUUGGUUCAGAGCAGUUCACAAAAGAAAAUGAGUCAACAGUGAUUCAGUGUUGUAAAAAAAAUGUGACGACUUUACUGGAAUGUAGAAAAAGACUGUCAAGCACAAGAAAAGUGAAGUAAUGUUUCCACUCCACUGAGCUCAAAAAGGCUUUUGGUGAAGAAAACUUCUCUGUUUUGGGCACCUCCUUCAAUCAGGGAGAGUUCUGCGGAGAAUGUGAUAAGCUACCAGAAGUCUGGAAAACCCAAGCGUGACUGAAAGAAGUUCAGAUAGAUACCUGAAAAGCCAGCAAAGACAGCCUGGGCAAUCUGAGAAUUUGAAAUGAAGAAAGCAGUUUGUUUAUGAGAAAAGUGAAUACAAACACCAGCCCAACUGUUUAGUAAUGGAAAUAACUUUUUGCUGCAUAAUAAAUUCUCAAGCUAAAGCA